UACGUAGGGUGCAAGCGUUGUCCGGAAUUAUUGGGCGUAAAGAGCUCGUAGGCGGUUUGUCGCGUCUGCCGUGAAAGUCCGGGGCUCAACUCCGGAUCUGCGGUGGGUACGGGCAAACUAGAGUGCGGUAGGGGAGAUUGGAAUUCCUGGUGUAGCGGUGGAAUGCGCAGAUAUCAGGAGGAACACCAAUGGCGAAGGCAGAUCUCUGGGCCGUAACUGACGCUGAGGAGCGAAAGCAUGGGGAGCGAACAGG
This 253-nucleotide ribosomal RNA is filed under the name uncultured bacterium. Its description in RNAcentral is "partial 16S ribosomal RNA". It matches the Rfam family "Bacterial small subunit ribosomal RNA", at positions 524 to 776 of the family's 1533-position model. The record is from RNAcentral.